CUUGUCAAGGUCUCCAGCCCAGCUGAUUCUGUCUUUAAAUGGUGGAUAAUUCCCAAGGUACACUUGCCCUUGGGAGUAGUGGAAAAACGACACAGUAGUGUCGGCCCCCUCUGGCUGGAAGCUCCAGGAGACUGAGGUCAACCCGCCAGUCGUACUAGUAGACUUGAACUUGCAGGUCAGCUUCCCUUGUGUACCAUUUGCCACGAAGAU
RNAcentral lists this long non-coding RNA (210 nucleotides) under Homo sapiens (human). Its description in RNAcentral is "LNC_000374". The record is from RNAcentral. Lineage: Eukaryota; Metazoa; Chordata; Mammalia; Primates; Hominidae.